GACGAACGCUGGCGGCGUGCCUAACACAUGCAAGUCGAGCGGAAGACUUCGGUCUUCAGCGGCGGACGGGUGAGUAACACGUGGGUAACCUGCCUCAUAGAGGGGGAUAGCCUCCCGAAAGGGAGAUUAAUACCGCAUAACAUCAUGCUAACGCGUGUUAGUAUGAUCAAAGGAGUAAUCCGAUAUGAGACGGACCCGCGGCGCAUUAGCUAGUUGGUGAGGUAACGGCUCACCAAGGCGACGAUGCGUAGCCGACCUGAGAGGGUGAUCGGCCACAUUGGAACUGAGACACGGUCCAGACUCCUGCGGGAGGCAGCAGUGGGGAAUAUUGCACAAUGGGCGAAAGCCUGAUGCAGCAACGCCGCGUGAGUGAAGAAGGCCUUCGGGUUGUAAAGCGCUGUCUUAUGGGACGAUAAUGACGGUACCAAAGGAGGAAGCCACGGCUAACUACGUGCCAGCAGCCGCCGUAA
RNAcentral lists this ribosomal RNA (470 nucleotides) under uncultured bacterium. Its description in RNAcentral is "partial 16S ribosomal RNA". It matches the Rfam family "Bacterial small subunit ribosomal RNA", at positions 28 to 523 of the family's 1533-position model. The record is from RNAcentral.